UACGUAGGGGGCAAGCGUUGUCCGGAUUCAUUGGGCGUAAAGAGCGUGUAGGCGGCCAGGUAGGUCGGUUGUGAAAACUGGAGGCUCAACCUUCAGACGUCGACCGAAACUAUCUGGCUAGAGUCCGGGAGAGGAGAGUGGAAUUCCUGGUGUAGCGGUGAAAUGCGCAGAUAUCAGGAAGAACACCCGUGGCGAAAGCGGCUCUCUGGAACGGUACUGACGCUGAGACGCGAAAGCGUGGGGAGCAAACAGG
RNAcentral lists this ribosomal RNA (253 nucleotides) under uncultured bacterium. Its description in RNAcentral is "partial 16S ribosomal RNA". It matches the Rfam family "Bacterial small subunit ribosomal RNA", at positions 524 to 776 of the family's 1533-position model. The record is from RNAcentral.